RNAcentral lists this long non-coding RNA (1053 nucleotides) under Oreochromis niloticus (Nile tilapia). RNAcentral's name for it is "lncRNA (ENSONIG00000032961.1)". The record is from RNAcentral. Lineage: Eukaryota; Metazoa; Chordata; Actinopteri; Cichliformes; Cichlidae.
AGGAAAUGAUGAAAUCAGAGCCUGAGAUGUCUCUCUACCGCUCAGACCACACAUGCUCAGUCGACAUCCAGACACCAUGAAGCGGACCCCGCUGCUCGUCCUCCUUGGUGUGUGUGUGCUGCUGCUGUCUGCACUGACUGUUUCUGCAGUGUCUCUGUCUGUCAGUCCAAACCUUCAGCAGUUUUUCAGUGGAUCUUCUUCAGUGUCUUUGAGUUGUGUUGAUGAUGGACAGACAGUUGAUGGAUGGACAGUGAAGAGGACCAGAGGAGGACUCACUGAGGACUGUAGAGCAGCUGCUUUGGGCUUUGGGGAGUUUAAUGGUUACUCCUGCAUCCUCUCAGACAUGUCCCAGUCAGAGUCUGCAGCUUACUGGUGUGAAGCCAGUUCUGGACAGAGGAGUGAUCAGAUCAGCAUCACUGUAACUGGUACACAAGCUAACUACUCCAUCUGCUACUGCUACAACAUCUGGAUAUGAGUCUACUUUCGUUAACUUUGUUUGUCUCUGCUUGUCAGAAAAACAUCUUAUACUGGAGAUUCCUGCACUUCCUGUGAGGACAGGAAGUGAUCUGAUUCUGCGCUGCAAGCAGAGGAAUGGUGACACAGUCAAAGGUUAUUUCUCCGUGAAAGGAAGUUCUGUUGGUCUUAAACAAAAGUACAUCAUCACUAACAUCCAGCAGUCUGAUGAAGGUCUCUAUUCGUGUUAUACUGAUGAGGGUGGAGAAUCUCCUCUGAGCGUUCUGAGGGUCAGAGGUGAGAACACUUACAUCACUUCCUGUAUAAAGACAAACUAACCUGAGCUGCUGAACUGAAAAUAAACUGACUGAACCAUCUUUAUCAUCUCUCCUGCAGAUCAUCUUCCUACUGCAUCUUCUCCUCCUCUUCAAACACCCUCUCCCUCCUCUCCUCCUGUAAACUAUCCUCUUAUUUCUACUCUGUUCAUUCACCACCCAGCCUCCUCCCCUCAACCACCAUCUCCCUCCUCCCUCCUGGCCCCCGUUGUUGCAGUUCUGGUCUCUGUGGUUCUACUGGUUCUGCUUUUGGCUGGAGUUUUGU